Molecule: microRNA precursor, 89 nt
Filed under: Canis lupus dingo (dingo)
Lineage: Eukaryota; Metazoa; Chordata; Mammalia; Carnivora; Canidae
Description: mir-8799 microRNA precursor family
Rfam family: mir-8799 microRNA precursor family
Source: Rfam by way of RNAcentral
CAGGGGAGCAGGAUCCUGGUCUGUGUCCUCUGCUCCCUGGGGUCCGGGGCCUGAGCUCCUGGAAUCACGCUCCGGGCCCGCGGCUCCCG